This is a long non-coding RNA of Alligator sinensis (Chinese alligator), 446 nucleotides long. RefSeq lists it as uncharacterized. Lineage: Eukaryota; Metazoa; Chordata; Crocodylia; Alligatoridae. The record is from RefSeq and is a predicted model, not a curated record. The transcript is spliced from 3 exons.
AGGAGGAAGGAGCUCUCUGCUGUGAGAGAGAAGAGAAGCCAGAUGAAGGAGAAGCAUCUGACACGCCGUGGGAUGAAGAAUCCCGAUGAAUAUGUCACCCUCCUGAGCUUGUAUCAUAUACCACUACCAGCGAUUGCCCUGACAUUGCAUAGACAUACAUUCUGUUGAAGGUUUGUCUAGCUGGUGGAAGAGGUGUCCGACAGUUACCAGUAUGUUUUGGAACACCUCUGAGUUUGUGGAAUUAAUGACACUGGCACCAGCCCCAAUCACUCCCAGCACUAUGUCCAGAGACCUUUGCCUUCCUGGAGCAUGGGAGUUGUCAGCAUCCAGCUUGGCAAGGGUUUGCCUAACCCAUGCCUGUCACCUGAUGCUUAAAGGGAUCACAGUUUCCACACUGUUGCAGGACACUGUGCUUGCAAGUCAAUGGAUCUAGUUGUAUGUAUUAG